This is a long non-coding RNA of Arabidopsis thaliana (thale cress), 246 nucleotides long. RefSeq annotates it as other RNA. The transcript has a single exon. Lineage: Eukaryota; Viridiplantae; Streptophyta; Magnoliopsida; Brassicales; Brassicaceae. The record is from RefSeq.
CACACUGCAAAAGUUGCCCAAUUUUUUUUAAAAAAACGUUACAAAUUGUUAAAAGAAAGGGCCAAGACGUGCAAAGAUCUAAGGUUUAUGUCUCAAAAUCCCAAAGCAUACGAAAAAUUUAUCACAUCUAGAUAAUUGGGUUUUCGAGUAAUGUGAAAAGGAUCGAAAGAAGCUUUACUUCGUGAGAAAGUAUGAAAUCUUUUUUUCUUCUUUCGAAAAAACGUUACCAAAGUCAAAACAGAGGAG